RNAcentral lists this ribosomal RNA (345 nucleotides) under uncultured bacterium. RNAcentral describes it as "bacterial SSU rRNA". It matches the Rfam family "Bacterial small subunit ribosomal RNA", at positions 1 to 334 of the family's 1533-position model. The record is from RNAcentral.
UACGACGUAUCAGAGUUUGAUCCUGGCUCAGGAUGAACGCUAGCGGCAGGCUUAACACAUGCAAGUCGAGGGGCAGCAUGAAGGUUAGCAAUAACCUUUGAUGGCGACCGGCGCAAGGGUGCGUAACGCGUGAGCAACUUGCCCUUAUCAGGGGGAUAACCAAUGGAAACGUUGACUAAUACCCCAUAGCAUAACUUUGAGGCAUCUCUUAGUUAUUAAAGAAUUUCGGAUAAGGAUAGGCUCGCGUGACAUUAGCUAGAUGGCGGGGUAACGGCCCACCAUGGCGACGAUGUCUAGGGGUUCUGAGAGGAAGGUCCCCCACACUGGAACUGAGACACGGUCCAG